This 129-nucleotide ribosomal RNA is filed under the name Clostridium botulinum. RNAcentral describes it as "partial 16S ribosomal RNA". It matches the Rfam family "Bacterial small subunit ribosomal RNA", at positions 1414 to 1533 of the family's 1533-position model. Lineage: Bacteria; Bacillati; Bacillota; Clostridia; Eubacteriales; Clostridiaceae. The record is from RNAcentral.
GUAACACCCGAAGUCCGUGAGGUAACCGUAAGGAGCCAGCGGCCGAAGGUGGGAUUAGUGAUUGGGGUGAAGUCGUAACAAGGUAGCCGUAGGAGAACCUGCGGCUGGAUCACCUCCUUUCUAAGGAGA